Ciona intestinalis (vase tunicate) is the source of this 1973-nucleotide non-coding RNA. The record is from RefSeq and is a predicted model, not a curated record. NCBI's taxonomy places the organism in Eukaryota, Metazoa, Chordata, Ascidiacea, Phlebobranchia, Cionidae.
ACAAGAUCCACAGCAGUCCUUGCAAUUAUCCUCCUAAAAAUAAACACGAUGAACCAGAUAUACACAAUGUUCUCAAAUCGCAAACAUGUUUCAGAAUUGUACUGAGCAGAAAAAUAUUCUUUGCAUCUUUCUGAUGUUUCUACCUGGGAAUCCAAAUCAUCAAGAGAGUUUUCACUUUCCGGAAACUCCCAUGUGUCAUCACAACACACGUCUUCUUCUUUGCAACUUAUCGAUCCAAACUUUUGAAUCUUGUUGCUCAUAUCGCUGUAGUCAAAUGAGAUGGCUUGUUUUGAAUGAUUCUGUGUUUCUUGUGCUACCCUGUGUUGGUAUAGAUAUUUAGAUAAUGCAAAAUUUUAAAUAUUUCCUUAGAUUUUUGAAUAUGUAAACAUAAUCUGUACCGUGACUCAAUGCCUGAAAAACUGUGCAAUAUUUGUGAACCACCAGGAUUUUAUAUUUUUCCAAUUAAUGUAAUAUUCAAUAAAUAUAUUCUACAAGACUACAUUAUGAUCUAGAAAUGUAUUGGUGAAUAUUUUAUUGCCAUACUAUUAUUAUUAUUCUUUUAAAAUUUUAGUAACAAAACAGCCAUAAAACUAAUAUAGUCUGAACAACACUGUGUCAAAAAAUUUAAACAGUUGCACAUAUGUGUACAAAGUAUAGUGUCAUUCACUAACAGCUGCUUCUGCAUUUAAUCCAUUAUCAAGCUGUCAACACAAUGUGGUGUAAACAUGUUUAGUGACAUACACAUUUAUUUUAUAACUGAGAAUUCAUGAAAUACAUUUAUGUUUACAACAUGCUUUUACAGCAUGAAUCACACAUCCAGAUAAUUACAAUUUAAUUGUUGCUAAGUAUAGCUUGCGCAGUCAAAUACCAGUUCCCGGUAUUAAGCACGACGGAAAUUAUACAGCCAGUCACGUCUCUAUUACACAGUCUCACUUUUUUACCCAUGAACAGUAUCUUGCAUUCGCAUCAUGUCUACAUGUUAAUGAACCAGUGUUUACACUUACAUUUUGUUGUAAGUUUUCAACACUGACUUAGCGUACUUCUGUAUUGAAAGACUGUUAUCUGCGUUAACCUCUUCCAUCAAAUCCAAGCAACACAACAGUUUUCCUCUCGUCUGAAACACAUGUAUGAUAAAUACAAACAUUCUAUUGAUGGCCAAUAAGAUUUAAACAUACAACUGAAUGUUAUUCAUAACAGGUUUUCAAUAAAUGAACUGACUAAAAUAUGUAUACGUGCCACAGCAUGACGCAGUGUUUGCCUGUACACCAAAGAAUAUAGUUCAACAAAAUAAUACCAAUUAAGUUAAAUGAGCUGGUAAGGUCCAAGCCUAUGAAAUUUGUGUUUUAACAACUUAUUUCCCUUCUAACAGAGGAUAAACAAGUUACAUUUAUUAAUAUAGAUUCUCUAAUUCUACAGAUUUACAAACUAAAUAUUUUGCAAGUAAUAAAAAAAUGCAUACUUUUAUGUAUAACCAUCAAUUAAUCAAACACACUUACUUCCGCAAGUUGCUCAGAAUUUUUCUGUGCUAUUUUGGUCAAGCACUCAUGCACACUGUCAACCUGGUGCAGUAACCAUUGUUCUCGAAGUUGCAUUUGCCGGAUUUGACUUUGAACAACAGAACGAAUGUUUUCUUUUACCUGGAAAAAUUUAUAAAGCUUAUAAAUAAACCGGUGGCAGAAAUAAAAGGCUAUCAUAAUUUGAAAAACUGUUUUAAUUAAGCCUGAGAUAUGAUAUAGUAUCGAAUAAAAAACUAGAAGAUUUACUCUAACAACUAAAUUUAUUACGUUAUAAGCGUUUCUUACACGUUGAAUAUCAGCCUCCAAAUUAUCAGUUGGUUCAUCGUAAUUUGUUUUCAAGCACUUUUUAAUUUCGGCCCUAACAGGAUUCAUACUGACGCUUUAAAGUGAUGUUCAAUCAAAUAAAAGCUUUUCAGUAAAGGACCUUGAAUAAAAUAAUUGUAAACUUGUAAUCCA